Molecule: long non-coding RNA, 1290 nt
Organism: Penaeus monodon (black tiger shrimp)
Lineage: Eukaryota; Metazoa; Arthropoda; Malacostraca; Decapoda; Penaeidae
Exons: 3
Source: RefSeq, a predicted model, not a curated record
CAUUGGCCAAUCGUGUUGAUCCUCUUUGUGAUUGGUGCAUCCCGUCACUUCGGCAGCCGUGCGUGUUUUGCAGUGUUGUAGACGACGCCAGAUCACCGACACUCCUCCUACACCACCAUGUUUCAGACUAUACCUGUAUCACAAGCGUCUCGGCGGGUGGAGCGAGGGGGAAUUAAAGGAACUAUCUUAAAUAUCUACUAUGACCCAUUUAAGUGGUCCCUAGUGAAGAGUAUUCUCUUCUUUGCUGUUGGUGUCAAAACUGCAAAUGAUUUUGUUGGAUUUGAUGUUCUUAAUCCUAAUCCACAGUAAAGAUGUGUCUGCAUGAGAACUUUCCUGAGAUGAUUUAAUAGCAAGACAGAUUUUUUUUUAUAAACAUGUAUAGUAUAUUACAAUGCCUAUUUUGUAAUUGUUUGUUUGAACACUGUAUAAACUAUAUGAUUUUUAUUUCUGUUUUUUGAGAAAUAUAAAAGGAUAAACAAAGACAUUUCAGUCAUUUCUCCUUUUUCAGAUUCUAUUUUUGUAAUCUUUCAGGGGGGAAAAAUAAAAUAAUGUUAAGAAAUUUAUUAAAACCAACAGCCAGAUAAUAUGUUUGGGAACUAUUUUUUUUUAGUGUGUCUGCUCUCCAGAUAUCAGCUAAUAAUAAACUUUUAACAAUAAAUAUCAAUAAUGAUGAAAGAAAUCCAAUAUAUAUAUAUAUUUACAAACUUUUUUGUGGUCAAUGUUUUACAUAAAGUCAGCAAAACAUACUUUAAUUAAAGAAUUGUUAAGUCCCAAAGAUAAAUCCACUUUAUUUCACAUGAACCACAACACAACCUAAAAAGUAUUUUAAGCAAAACCACUUAACAAAAAAUCAUCUAUAUAGACAUCUAAUGCAAUUGGCCAAUUACCCUAAAAACAAGUUAUGUAAGCCUAUAUAUGAGUUACUUUCUUAAAGACUUCAGGAUUUAUAAUAUUACCCUAAUACACUUGAAAUGUCAUUUGAGAUAGCAAAGCUUGUAGUUUUAUUACAGUAUAUAUUUUAGUUCAUUAAAUUAUAUUUUGUAAAUAGACAAAUAAUAGAUUGGCAAGAGCUAUUCAUAAUAUUUCUAAAUAUUAUUGUCUUUGUUCUUUUUCUUACCAUUCAUCUCUUUAUUGUAAUACAAUAAAAACACAAAUAUCUGAAACUUCCUUGAAUGUUUCUUUAAUCAGAAGCAGUGAAAUACUGAUUGUUGAAUUUACCAAAUUAUUCUUAUGUGUGAAUGUUUGCAUUCUAAUUUUAAAACUACUCAAAAAUGUAAUCAGUCAAAAAAA